AUGAACGCUGGCGGCGUGCUUAACACAUGCAAGUCGAACGAACCUUCGGGUUAGUGGCGGACGGGUGAGUAACGCGUGGGAAUCUGCCCUCAGGAGGGGGAUAACGGCCGGAAACGGCCGCUAAUACCCCAUAUGCCGAGAGGUGAAAUGAAUUUCGCCUGAGGAUGAGCCCGCGUCUGAUUAGCUAGUUGGUGGGGUAAUGGCCCACCAAGGCGACGAUCAGUAGCUGGUCUGAGAGGAUGAUCAGCCACACUGGGACUGAGACACGGCCCAGACUCCUACGGGAGGCAGCAGUGGGGAAUUUUCCGCAAUGGGCGAAAGCCUGACGGAGCAACGCCGCGUGAGGGAUGAAGGCCUCUGGGCUGUAAACCUCUUUUCUCAAGGAAGAAGACAUGACGGUACUUGAGGAAUAAGCCACGGCUAAUUCCGUGCCAGCAGCCGCGGUAAUACGGGAGUGGCAAGCGUUAUCCGGAAUUAUUGGGCGUAAAGCGUCCGCAGGCGGCCUUGUAAGUCUGUCGUUAAAGCGUGGAGCUUAACUCCAUUUAAGCGAUGGAAACUACAAGGCUUGAGUGUGGUAGGGGCAGAGGGAAUUCCCGGUGUAGCGGUGAAAUGCGUAGAUAUCGGGAAGAACACCAGUGGCGAAGGCGCUCUGCUGGGCCAUAACUGACGCUCAUGGACGAAAGCCAGGGGAGCGAAAGGGAUUAGAUACCCCUGUAGUCCUGGCCGUAAACGAUGAACACUAGGUGUCGGGGGAAUCGACCCCCUCGGUGUCGUAGCUAACGCGUUAAGUGUUCCGCCUGGGGAGUACGCACGCAAGUGUGAAACUCAAAGGAAUUGACGGGGGCCCGCACAAGCGGUGGAGUAUGUGGUUUAAUUCGAUGCAACGCGAAGAACCUUACCAGGGUUUGACAUCCUGCGAAUCCCUUGGAAACGAGGGAGUGCCUUCGGGAGCGCAGAGACAGGUGGUGCAUGGCUGUCGUCAGCUCGUGUCGUGAGAUGUUGGGUUAAGUCCCGCAACGAGCGCAACCCACGUCUUUAGUUGCCAGCAUUCAGUUGGGCACUCUAGAGAGACCGCCGGUGAUAAACCGGAGGAAGGUGUGGAUGACGUCAAGUCAUCAUGCCCCUUACAUCCUGGGCUACACACGUACUACAAUGCUACGGACAAAGGGUUGCAAGCUCGCGAGAGUUAGCUAAUCCCAUAAACCGUGGCUCAGUUCAGAUCGUAGGCUGCAACUCGCCUACGUGAAGGAGGAAUCGCUAGUAAUCGCAGGUCAGCAUACUGCGGUGAAUACGUUCCCGGGCCUUGUACACACCGCCCGUCACACCAUGGAAGUUGGCCAUGCCCGAAGUCGUUACUCCAACCCUUGUGGAGGAGGACGCCGAAGGUGGGGCUGAUGACUGGGGUGAAGUCGUAACAAGGUAGCCGUACCGGAAGGUGCGGCUGGAUCACCUCCU
This 1455-nucleotide ribosomal RNA is filed under the name Synechococcus sp. BO 983115. RNAcentral describes it as "16S ribosomal RNA". It matches the Rfam family "Bacterial small subunit ribosomal RNA". Lineage: Bacteria; Bacillati; Cyanobacteriota; Cyanophyceae; Synechococcales; Synechococcaceae. The record is from RNAcentral.